GACUAAUGAUCAUCUACCCUAUGGUGUCAUUAUCAAGCCUAUUUCUUUAUUCAUUUUACUAUAAUUUCUUGUUUGGAAUCUAAACUCAAUAACCGGCCAUACCUUAAUAAUAUUUUUUUCAUUAGACUAUUUCUCAAUCAUCAAUGCCACAAAUGUUUUCCAAGCAACAUUAAUUUCAGCUGGUUUUCGUUUAAGGGCAAUCAAGGGGUGAUUCAGUUCGAGUUCUUGAGGGAGAUAAUAUGACCCUUUACAAUUAACUGAUUCCAGGCUUUCUUUUUGUUUUCCUUUUGUUUUUCAAAGCAGUAAAUAGCACAUUCUUUAAUGAAGGAUUCGAUUCAGCCAAGGCUAUACAGCUGCUAUAGAUGCAGAAACCUGGUGUCCUGUCAUGAUGAUAUUAUCUCCAAGAGUUUCCAGGUGAACUUGCUUGAUCACUCUCUUCAGCCAUACAAAUCUAUUAUAAUUAGAUUUAUUAUCUUUAAUAAAUUUGUUUUUUCAUUUUAAUUGAUGUAGCAAACUGAAUAGAUCCUCUAUUCAUGAUCUUUAUUAACAAAUUAAGCUCUCUGAUCAAUGUCAUAAUUGAAAAUCCUUGCGAGCUUUUUGAAUACUAAAGUUACCCUGAUAUGUAUGGAGAAAUUUCUUUAGGCAAGCAAUGGCAGAGCCUUUCUUUUCUCGCAUGCAAUGAACAUAAUUGUAGGACAUAAAGAGGAUCGGCAGAUGAUUACUGGUCUCCAUACGGUUGCUGAUGUCUACUGUUCUGACUGCGGAGAGUUGCUGGGUUGGAAGUACGAGAGAGCUUACGAGGAAUCGCAGAAGUACAAGGAAGGAAAAUUCGUACUCGAAAAAUUCAAGAUUGUCAAGGAAAACUGGUAGCAAUUUGUUUCAUCUUAUAUCAGAUGGAGAUUCUAUUUUGAUUGAUUGUUUUACGUCUCAUUGUUUGUACGUACAAAUAUCUUUCAUAUCGCAACUCAAUAACUCGCAUUGUACUGGUGGCGGCUUGUAAUCCAAUUAUAACAAGUGAAUGUUUGUCUUUUUAGUAAUUUCCAGGUAGCUUCCUGUAAACUUCCUGUAGUAUCUGGGUUCGAAGGUUUUUUUCACCUAUUACGUAAAUGCAUAUGCCAUGACGCCCAGUUCUUUGGCAGUCUACUUGCAUCAGCCUCGCUGUCUUGGAAGUCUUGCCCUUGAUAUUUCUAUGCCAAG
RNAcentral lists this unclassified non-coding RNA (1197 nucleotides) under Hevea brasiliensis (rubber tree). The record is from RNAcentral. Lineage: Eukaryota; Viridiplantae; Streptophyta; Magnoliopsida; Malpighiales; Euphorbiaceae.